CAGACAGACACAAUCCUACCCUUUGGCUCCCUAGCUGGCAUUAAGCAUAAUGAAUGAUCUUGUCCUCCUUGUUUGUCUCCUCUUCCAGUAUAACACUGUAAUUAACUUAAUUACGAACAGAUUCCUCUCUUUUUUGUAUGGAACUUAAAAUGGAAAUUAAAUUUUCACCUAGGUUUACAGACUGCUAACUAGAAUCCAACAAUCAAGCUCAGUGCUGGGUCCUUGAAAAGGGAAAGUUGUUUAACUGUUGGCAUCCCAGCAAUGCAGACAAGAUUGAAUGGCAAAGCUGGAGGUAACGAGGCUGAUCGGAGGCAGCCCUUCCUGGGAUCAAGCAAAUGGAGCUCCUGAAUGAACGUGUGUGCGAUCAACCUUAAGAAAGAUGAACCAAAUGUCCAUAUCUGUACCGAUUUGCAAGUCUGUCUUCAUACCACCUGUUUGAAUGUUCUUCAGUCCUCAAUCCAUUGUGGAAGGUGAGUGCUUAUCAUUUCAGUGUUGUAAUAUCCUGAAUAUAAGCAAUGAAAGUUGUAGUAUUCUAAGGGCAUUUACCCUAUCCUGCAAACUCCAUCUAGGGAUAUCCUGAAAAAAAUCUCCUCCAUCAAUUUAUUCAAAUUUAGUUUGAUCCUUUGAGGCACAUUUCUGGCAAUCAGUAUUCUCAGAUAUAUUCUCAAUCAGUAUUCUCAAAUAUAUUCUCUAACGAGAUCCGGGGUGGCUGAAUUUGCCAGUCAGUUAAUACUUUUUCCAGUUCGCAUCACUUCAGAAUUUAGCCCGAAAUAGCCAGAAAAUCACCAAACUAUUGAUCAACUGCAUCAAAGCUGGAACAAAUGACUGGGGAUUUGAGAUAAACAGUGGAAGACCAUCAGCAUAAAGAAUAUUUAAAUUCUAAACAAUAAUGCAGAAAGCUAUAAAUACUGCUGUUCUGUCAAUAGCAGACACCAGCCGCUCCAACCAUAAAACUGACAACAACAGAGAAACCAGACAUUCCUGUCUGGUAACUCUCCCAAGUGAA
Long non-coding RNA from Varanus komodoensis (Komodo dragon), 1006 nucleotides. RefSeq lists it as uncharacterized. The record is from RefSeq and is a predicted model, not a curated record. Lineage: Eukaryota; Metazoa; Chordata; Lepidosauria; Squamata; Varanidae. The transcript has 3 exons.